RNAcentral lists this ribosomal RNA (253 nucleotides) under uncultured bacterium. RNAcentral describes it as "partial 16S ribosomal RNA". It matches the Rfam family "Bacterial small subunit ribosomal RNA", at positions 524 to 776 of the family's 1533-position model. The record is from RNAcentral.
UACGAAGGGGGCUAGCGUUGCUCGGAAUCACUGGGCGUAAAGCGCACGUAGGCGGAUUGCUAAGUCAGGGGUGAAAUCCUGGAGCUCAACUCCAGAACUGCCUUUGAUACUGGCGAUCUCGAGUCCGGGAGAGGUGAGUGGAACUGCGAGUGUAGAGGUGAAAUUCGUAGAUAUUCGGAGGAACACCAGUGGCGAAGGCGGCUCACUGGUCCAUUACUGACGCUGAGGUGCGAAAGCGUGGGGAGCAAACAGG